This 484-nucleotide ribosomal RNA is filed under the name uncultured bacterium. RNAcentral describes it as "partial 16S ribosomal RNA". It matches the Rfam family "Bacterial small subunit ribosomal RNA", at positions 30 to 507 of the family's 1533-position model. The record is from RNAcentral.
AUUGAACGCUGGCGGCAGGCCUAACACAUGCAAGUCGAGCGGAUGAGGGGAGCUUGCUCCUGGAUUCAGCGGCGGACGGGUGAGUAAUGCCUAGGAAUCUGCCUGGUAGUGGGGGAUAACGUCCGGAAACGGGCGCUAAUACCGCAUACGUCCUGAGGGAGAAAGUGGGGGAUCUUCGGACCUCACGCUAUCAGAUGAGCCUAGGUCGGAUUAGCUAGUUGGUGGGGUAAAGGCCUACCAAGGCGACGAUCCGUAACUGAUCUGAGAGGAUGAUCAGUCAAACUGGAAAUGAGACACGGUCCAGACUCCUACGGGAGGCAGCAGUGGGGAAUAUUGGGCAAUGGGCGAAAGCCUGAUCGAGCCAUGCCGCGUGAGUGAAGAAGGUCUUCGGAUUGUAAAACUCUGUUAGUAGGGAAGAAAGACUGUAAAAUUAACUCUUGCCGUUUUGACGGUACCCAAAGAAAAAGCCACGGCUAACUUCGUG